AAACGCUAAACAUUUGUAGGUAAAACGGUCGUAGCUCGUAUGAUCAGCCUGUAGUGUUGAAAGCAAGAAAACACGGAAUAAUAGCUAUCACACCCUAACGCAUGCGAGAAAAGUAUUUGAAAUUGUUAGAACAAUGCAGCUCAUUUUUUACUUUUUGCAGAUUGUCACGAAAAAUUUCCGGAAGUAACCGGAAGUAGCCAAUGUCUCCAGAAAUAGGGAUCCCAUAAUAAAAUGAAUGAGAUUUUUGUGAUCCUUGUCAAAUUUUGGGUUGGACUGACGUGUUUUUAGCCAAAAGUCGGAUUUGAUCAAAAUCGUGAUUUUUCAUGAGCGAUUUUUGACGAUUUUCGGGUAUUUUGAGUUGAUACAUGGAGUCGACCCCAAAUUUGACGAGGAUCACGAAAAUGUGAAUCUUUUUUCUGACAGACCAACAAAUAAGGAGUUAUUAGGCAUUUUAAAACCGGAAGUAAAACCGGAAAUUGAAAUUUUGGAAAUCCAAAAAAUAAGCUUUAUUCGCCUUUAAAUUGUUAACAAGAAUUGCCUAGUUCAAAGAUAGACCAAUAUAAAUAAAUGUUAACGGGAUUGUGAACAGUUCUGAAAGUACAGGUUGGUUUACGACCUACGCACGCUAAGAUUGCGCAUUAAAGAAAAACCUGAAAUCAAACAUUAAGAACACCUUAAUUGUUCUAAAUAAAAUUGUCUCCAUUGAACUCGUGAAAUACUUGAUAAUAAAUGAAAAUCUGCAGCCAAAAUUUGACAGAACUUUAAAAAAAACAUGGGGUCCAGGAGCAUCUGGCGAGAGUGCUGUGGAACUUCGAAAGUUCGGGGCUCCGGGCAUAAUAGCAAACUGCUACCGAAUUGUCGAGUUUACGUCAAUGAAUGUUAACAUGAAAAGAGUUUUAUAACAUAAAAAAUAAAAUAGAAAGAAAAUAAAUAUUUAUGUUGUGAGUCUGCAUCUUGCUGAGCUUCGAAGCUGACAUUCGGCUCGAAAGCUUCCUUAAAUCCCAACAUAUUGGUGAAAUGACGUAACAUGGCAGCCAUGUCAGAAGUAGGGUGACUUCAAGAAUCACUAUUUGUAUGGUGUGGAUUUUAUAAGGACCAAUUGCAAUAUGCUAGGGUCAUGAAAGACUGUCUGGUUUGCAUAGAUACCCUUAAGAUUAGAAAAUUGAUCUGUUAACCGCAAAUGAGUCUGAGCAUCCUAAGAAGAAAAAGUAAUCUUUCUAUUUGUAGACUUACCAAUGCUGAAUCGUGUAAUGUGAACUAGAUUUGUUUCGUCUGCUCAAUUCAUGGUAAUAAAAAAUGUUCACACGGUGAUAUCAGCUAGCUACAUUUGAUGUGACACUAACAUUUAUAACCAGUUUAAUUCACAAACAGUUGAAUAAACUUAACGACUUAAUAUACAGAUAUUUGAAGACAGAAUAA
Molecule: long non-coding RNA, 1419 nt
Organism: Daphnia magna
Lineage: Eukaryota; Metazoa; Arthropoda; Branchiopoda; Diplostraca; Daphniidae
Exons: 3
Source: RefSeq, a predicted model, not a curated record